RNAcentral lists this ribosomal RNA (318 nucleotides) under Triticum aestivum (bread wheat). Its description in RNAcentral is "partial small subunit ribosomal RNA". Lineage: Eukaryota; Viridiplantae; Streptophyta; Magnoliopsida; Poales; Poaceae. The record is from RNAcentral.
AUGGCGACAGCGAGGCGGGUCAAGGGCGGCGGCGCUCCUGGUUCCAGCGGGAGGAAGAACAUCCCAGUCACCGCUCGGGAGGCGCGAAGCAGAGGGAGGAGAGGAGGCUCCGGCUUGGUCGUGGCCUCGUCGGCCGGCGAGGUGGAGCUCCGGCAGUGGCUCGAUGGACAGAGGAGCUGGGUGGCUAUGCGCGGGAUCCAGAGAGAGAGAGAUGGGGGUCGCGUGGGAUCGAGAGGAAAGGGGUCGAGGGGAUCGGGAUCGAGCCGAGGGCUCUGCGGCGCUGAGGAGAAGGGUUCGGCUGCGCUAGGGGAUCGAUAG